Small nucleolar RNA from Malania oleifera, 106 nucleotides. The record is from RefSeq and is a predicted model, not a curated record. NCBI's taxonomy places the organism in Eukaryota, Viridiplantae, Streptophyta, Magnoliopsida, Santalales, Ximeniaceae.
ACCUGAUGAUGUGGCCAUUUACAAAGUAGGUCCCUAAAACGCUCCCAGGUCUCAAAGAAAAGUUCCUUAUCCAUUUGUGUGAAACUAGUGAUUACCCUUCGUUGCU